AGCAGCCGCGGUAAUUCCAGCUCCAAUAGCGUAUAUUAAAGUUGUUGCAGUUAAAAAGCUCGUAGUUGAAUUUCGGGAUCAAUACGUCGGUCGUGCUCCGGUACGUACUGGCGUCAUUGAUUUCUCCCUUCUGACGAACCAUGAUGUCAUUAACUUGGUGUCAUGGGAAAUCAGGACUGUUACUUUGAAAAAAUUAGAGUGUUUAAAGCAGGCUCACGCUUGAAUACAUUAGCAUGGAAUAAUGAAAUAGGACGUUCGAUCCUAUUUUGUUGGUUUUAGGAUCAACGUAAUGAUUAAUAGGGAUAGUUGGGGGCAUUAGUAUUCAAUUGUCAGAGGUGAAAUUCUUGGAUUUAUUGAAGACUAACUACUGCGAAAGCAUUUGCCAAGGAUGUUUUCAUUAAUCAAGAACGAAAGUUAGGGGAUCGAAGACGAUCAGAUACCGUCGUAGUCUUAACCAUAAACUAUGCCGACUAGGGAUCGGAUGAUGUUAAUUUUUUAAUGACUCAUUCGGCGCCUUACG
Molecule: ribosomal RNA, 520 nt
Filed under: uncultured Glomeraceae
Lineage: Eukaryota; Fungi; Glomeromycota; Glomeromycetes; Glomerales; Glomeraceae
Description: SSU rRNA
Rfam family: Eukaryotic small subunit ribosomal RNA
Source: RNAcentral